GCUGCGCCGGGCCCUGCGCUACCUGGAGAGCCCCCAGGAGCCCCUGCGAGAGGCGGCCAUCAGGUUCAUGGGGAUGGCCGGGCGGCACCUGAGGGGGCAGCCAAGAGAGCUCCUGAUGAUCUGCAGUGCCCUUGAACACCUGACCGAGGAUAUGAGCAGUGCCGUGUCAGAGGUGGCACUUCAAACACUGCAUGUCCUCCGGGCAAUUCAGCGUGGGCACUAUUCCAUCUUCCAGAGGCUGCAAGAUCAGCUGCGCAGGGCAUGGAAGAGUCGGCCUCGUCUGUCAGGGCUCGGCUGGCUGCAUUGCCGGAGCUCUGAGGAGAACUGAUGGGCAAGGCACACUUGGUGGGGGCAAU
Passer domesticus (house sparrow) is the source of this 356-nucleotide long non-coding RNA. RefSeq lists it as uncharacterized. The record is from RefSeq and is a predicted model, not a curated record. The transcript has 3 exons. Lineage: Eukaryota; Metazoa; Chordata; Aves; Passeriformes; Passeridae.